AUCGUCAGCUCAUUUUGUAUAUGUAUGAGUUAUGAUGCGAGUUACUCNUUGUAGUAUUGCUUGCACGUACUUAUACAUUUAUUUGCAAGGUGUUGUCGGCGUGCACUUCUCCCCUAGUAGGACGUCGCGACCCGUUGGGUGUCGGUUUACGACCCGAGUNGGGAGACUUNUAAUAUUUUNAUAAUAUUAAAGACCCUUGGUGUUUUCUGACCGACUGCCCGGCGGUACUCGUACGGUAUUUAGCCGCAUUUANUNUUGCGUCCAUGUCCGUCGCAAGCGCGGCUAAUUUCUGGUAGUACGGACCUAGUGCCGUCGCUGGGAUUGGCCAGCUGUUGGUUGUA
RNAcentral lists this ribosomal RNA (341 nucleotides) under Heterospilus sp. MAS-2010. RNAcentral's name for it is "eukaryotic LSU rRNA". Lineage: Eukaryota; Metazoa; Arthropoda; Insecta; Hymenoptera; Braconidae. The record is from RNAcentral.